GGUUUUGUUGGUGUUGCGGUUAUCACGUCUGCUUUACACGCAGAAGGUCCUGGGUUCGAGCCCCAGUGGAACCA
Molecule: non-coding RNA, 74 nt
Organism: Cyprinus carpio (common carp)
Lineage: Eukaryota; Metazoa; Chordata; Actinopteri; Cypriniformes; Cyprinidae
Source: the annotation of a RefSeq genome assembly